CACGUAGGGGGCAAGCGUUGUCCGGAUUUAUUGGGCGUAAAGGGCGCGUAGGCGGCCUGUUAAGUCGAACGUGAAAUCCCCGGGCUCAACCCGGGAACUGCGUCCGAUACUGGCAGGCUUGAAUCCGGGAGAGGGAUGCGGAAUUCCAGGUGUAGCGGUGAAAUGCGUAGAUAUCUGGAGGAACACCGGUGGCGAAGGCGGCACCCUGGACCGGCAUUGACGCUGAGGCGCGAAAGCCAGGGGAGCAAACGGG
This 253-nucleotide ribosomal RNA is filed under the name uncultured bacterium. RNAcentral's name for it is "partial 16S ribosomal RNA". It matches the Rfam family "Bacterial small subunit ribosomal RNA", at positions 524 to 776 of the family's 1533-position model. The record is from RNAcentral.